This 403-nucleotide ribosomal RNA is filed under the name Verrucomicrobiota bacterium. RNAcentral's name for it is "Verrucomicrobia bacterium partial 16S ribosomal RNA". It matches the Rfam family "Bacterial small subunit ribosomal RNA", at positions 355 to 776 of the family's 1533-position model. Lineage: Bacteria; Pseudomonadati; Verrucomicrobiota. The record is from RNAcentral.
UGGGGAAUUUUGCACAAUGGGGGAAACCCUGAUGCAGCGACGCCGCGUGAUUUAGAAGGCCUUCGGGUUGUAAAAAUCUUUUCUAUGGGAAGAAAAUGACAGUACCAUAGGAAUAAGGACUGGCUAAUUACGUGCCAGCAGCCGCGGUAAUACGUAAGGUCCGAGCGUUGUCCGGAAUCAUUGGGCGUAAAGCGCUCGUAGGCGGUCUGUUAGGUCGGCCAGUUAAAUCCGGGGGCUCCACCCCCGUCCGCUUCCGAUACCGGCCGCCUUGACUUUGGUAGCGGAAGGUGGACUUCCUUGUGUAUCGGUGGACUCCGCAGAUAUUAGGAAGACCACCGGUCGCGAACGCGGCCUUCUGGGCCAUCACUGACGCUGGGGGGCGACAGCUAGGGGAGCGAACAGG